This is a long non-coding RNA of Anguilla rostrata (American eel), 2577 nucleotides long. RefSeq lists it as uncharacterized. The record is from RefSeq and is a predicted model, not a curated record. The transcript is spliced from 2 exons. Lineage: Eukaryota; Metazoa; Chordata; Actinopteri; Anguilliformes; Anguillidae.
UGAGCAGCGUUUUCACUGCUGUAUUGGCAUGUUUUAGGGCUAAUGUCGGGUUUAUCUUGUUGCUACGGAAUAUUACAUUACAUUACAUUACAGGCAUUUGGCAGACUCUCUUAUCCAGAGCGACAUACAACAAAGUGUAUAACCAUAACCAGGAACAAGUGUGUCGAAAACCCUAGAGAGAAGUACCGUUCCAAGUGCAGGGAACAACCGAAUAGUUCAACUUGGACCCUGUAGGUUAAACUGAUUAACACAAACAAGAACAGCAACAACGCAGUCUAUGCAAAAAUACAAGCAAUAGUUAAGACGAGUUAAGACUAAGUCACCUAUGAAACAACUACCUAGUUACAACCCUAAGCUUACAGUCAAUUUAGAGAUUAAACUGAGAAAAUACGAUUUCUCUCAGCAUAAUGACAGAUUCAAAGACUAAACAAACUCACCCGAUAUUGUCUUCAAAUGGAUCCAUGCCAAAGAAAAGUAAUGAUUCAUCCUCUCAAAAAGCUUUUACUAACAAACUUUUAGUAGCCUAGCAUGCACUCUGGCUGGCACUGUCUUCCAUUGCUUGCGCGAUGUUCAGACCCUCCCCUCACUGAUAAAAACUAGAGCCUACGGUGUCGGAUUACUUGUGUCGUCAUGUAUGUCAUCUAGCCGCUUGCCGUAAAGAAGUUUACUAGAUUGUCUUAACACUUUAGAUUUGGAGCUACAGCUCUUCCGCACCCCAACUAAUAAAAAAGUCCAAAUGGCGGGCAAACAAUAUGGCGGACAUAGGUGGUCCCAAUGGCAAAGAUGUAGAGCAUGUUCAGAUGCAUAGGUCAAUGAAAUUUUGUGUUGAUCUAACUUAUGGUGUGGGAGUUAUGGCUGUAUAAGCAUGACCCUUGGUUAUAGUGCCACCAUCUGACCGACAUAGGUGAUUUGUAGUGCCUGAGUAGUGGGGGGCCAUAGGAACCCACCUACCAAAUUGGGUUGCUAUAGGACUUAUGGUUGCUGAGCCUCAGACACUUUUAGCGGAGAAUAAUAAUAAUGAUAAUAAUAAUAAUAAUAAUAAUAAUAAUAAUAAUAAUAAUAAUAAAUAUAGCUGCGAGCAGCAAUGAAGGGGCCAAGCACUACUGGGGCACCUGACAGGCAAGCAACCAGAACAACCCCUGAACUAGACACCAGUCCAUCGCAGGGUGAACAGCAUAAUCCUCUACCAUUCUGCAAAGUUUUGUAAAAACCGACCAGUCGGUAAUAGGGGCUGCCAUAUACUUCCAUGGCAGAAAACAUCUGAAGCAUUUCUCGAAAAAGUCUAAUUCGCUAAAGAUCACAACUCUAGGACAAACAGUUCAAAAGUUAUAAGCAAAAAUGUAACUUGAAGUUUGGCCUGUUGGUGGCGCUACAGAGAUGGAUGGAUUGACCCCAAAUGCGAUGCCUGGAUACAAUGGACUGUCGUUUAUCAAUAUGCCAAAUUUCAUAAAAACCCACCAAUGGGUUCUAUGUCUACUGGGAUUUUUAAUACCAUUGAACCAUCUCCUUGUGAAAAGCAACCAUUUUAUAGCUAAAUGGCGCCAUCUGCUGUCGUUAACGUAUAAUGACAUUAAAAAGUCUAGACUUCCAUGGCAAAAAGCAUCUGAAGCAUUUUUUUUUUAAGUCUAAUUUGCGGAAGAUCUAAAUGGCGGAGCUUAUGGGUCCUUAUGGAAACUUGUUACCCUUGACGAGUUGCACAUCUGUGCAAAAUUUCAUGACUGUAGCUCAAAUGGAGCAGGAGAUAUGCUUGUUCAAAAUUAUCCAAGAAAAACACCUUUUUGCUCAUGUAAGCACCACCAUAUGGCCAAUCGGCUUCAUAUUUACUCCCUGUCCAUUUGGAGUGCCCCUAUGCCAAUGUGCGGAGUUUCAAAAAAAAUCAGCUUAGUGGUUAUGCCAAAAGAGGAAAUGAGCUCUCUAGCGCCACCAUUUUGUUUGAUCGGGCCAAAUAUGGAGGGUUAGCCUCCAGUUAUGGGUUGGGAUAUGACUACGAAGUUUCGUACAGUUUGGUCAAACCGUUCAGAAUUUACACACCUUUAUGUUAAAAGCCACGCCCACCUCAAAAUUCAUUGGCUCAUAGUGGCCAUAUAAUUAGCUUUAGCAAAAUUCUGUGAAUAACUUUUGGUCAUCACCGUCUGUAGAUACCAACCGAAUUUGGUGGUCAUAGGAUCAAGGCUGUUGGACUAGUUCGCAAAAGUAGGUUUUACAUAAAAUUCAAAAUGGUGGAAAAUUCAUUAUUCAUUAUGACGUUUUAACAACAAUGGGUGCAUUGGCCAGAAUGACCCAAGGAUUCAGGGGAAACAACCCCCACAACUCUAGGACAAAUGAUUCAAAAGUUAUAAGCAAAAAUGUACCUUGAAGUUUGGCCUGUUCGUGGCGCUACAGAGAUGCACGGAUUGACCCCAAAUUUGAUGCCUGGAUACAUUGGACUGUCCUUGAUCAAUGUGCCAAAUUUCAUAAAAAACCACCAAUGGGUUCUAUGGGCUGCCAUAGACUCGCAUUGCAGAAAGUAUAAUAAUAAUAAUAAUACUAACGAUUACAAUAGGUGCCCUGCACCUUCGGUGCUUGGCCCCUAAUAAU